RNAcentral lists this ribosomal RNA (365 nucleotides) under uncultured bacterium. RNAcentral describes it as "partial 16S ribosomal RNA". It matches the Rfam family "Bacterial small subunit ribosomal RNA", at positions 328 to 710 of the family's 1533-position model. The record is from RNAcentral.
AACCCAGACUCCUACGGGAGGCAGCAGUGGGGAAGACUGCACAAUGGGGGAAACCCUGAAGCAGCGACGCCGCGUGAAGGAAGAAGUAUUUCGGUAUGUAAACUUCUAUCAGCAGGGAAGAAAAUGACGGUACCUGACUAAGAAGCCCCGGCUAACUACGUGCCAGCAGCCGCGGUAAUACGUAGGGGGCAAGCGUUAUCCGGAUUUACUGGGUGUAAAGGGAGCGUAGGCGGUUUAGCAAGUCAGAAGUGAAAGCCCGGGGGUCAACUCCGGGACUGCUUUUGAAACUGCCCGGCUAGAGUGCUGGAGAGGUAAGCGGAAUUCCUAGUGUAGCGGUGAAAUGCGUAGAUAUUAGGAGGAACACC